GGACGGUUAGCUCAGUUGGUAGAGCACCGCUUUUACACAGCGGGGGUCACAGGUUCGAGCCCUGUAUCGUCCA
RNAcentral lists this transfer RNA (73 nucleotides) under Candidatus Woesebacteria bacterium. Its description in RNAcentral is "tRNA-Val". It matches the Rfam family "tRNA". From Rfam's summary of the family: Transfer RNA (tRNA) molecules are approximately 80 nucleotides in length. Their secondary structure includes four short double-helical elements and three loops (D, anti-codon, and T loops). Lineage: Bacteria; Candidatus Woeseibacteriota. The record is from RNAcentral.